UUGAACUGUUGAACCCGGUUUCGCGCCACUAUUCCGCAGUUUGAGCUGCGCGCUGCUCUCCUGCUUCAGUGACUCACGAAACGCCACAGAUUGAACAACAGCCUCCUGACAUGACAGCUCUUCUUGAGACAUUGUCAUCCAAUUUGGAUGGAACAACUUCGUGACCUUAAUGACACCCAGCAACACGAGACACACAAGCACCACAGGGGAGGAUCUGCAGCAAAGGGCCCACCGGAAAUCAAACCUUGGCCGCUAUGAUGACGACAACAUGGGGCACUUGAGUGUGAAUCUAGCCUUUUCAUUUUGAUUUACAACCUUGGCAUUGAAAAGAGCAAAAGUUGAUGAUUUUGGUUUUACUGAAGAGGAUGUACGUCUUCCCCUUGUCCUUUAUCUCCUUACUCUUUCUUUUUAGGUGUGACUACGACUACCAGCAUGAACCUCAACACCUUCUUUGCUGUUCCACUAGUGUGACCCAUGAUCGGAUACAAGUUGUCAAGGAUAAACGGUGAGAGAAUCAUGUCAGCCCACAGACAUCCGAUUGACCUGUGAGUCUUCAAGCAGUAAUGAUGACUACGCCUGCCUUAAGUUCCAGUUUCCUGAACAUCAUGGCAUGUCUGCAGGAGAUUCGGUCCCCACCUGUCUUCAGUCUGGACCUAAUGACUCAGACACCAGUCUUGUCGAGGCUAAAUCGAGAGGAUCACCUGAUGUCAACAUACGAGUUUUCAAGAAGAACUUCCUGAACUUUGUGUCCGUGUGAGACUCUACCAUGCUGGGUGCCCUCUUCAGUCAAGUCUGGACACAGCGACUCAUUGCUCUUCAUCAACUCUGGGCAAGUGGCUAAUCUUUUGCUUAUUCAUGGGAUAUCCUUCAUGUCCACAUCCUGUUUCUUCAAGAUCUCAACAAUGCUUUGUGAGUAAACAACACAUGUGAGUGGAUCAGUUCAACCUGUUUUUCACAGAAUGUUAGUUUCUUAAGGUUUUCAUCAAUGAUGGUUUGUAUCUUGUUUUCCAAAAGGUGUUAUUAAGAUAUUUCCAUUUGUAAUUUACAAGAAUCAAAUGUUGACUGUAAAAUCUAUGCCAACCUAUUGUUAUACACUGUACCAUGUUUUUGCAAAGGAAUUCUAGUGACUUUAGUUGCCAGCAACUUCCUUUGAACUUUGUAAUAAAAUACCAUAACUGUAAUAAAGUUUACAGUAUAACUGUUGUUUUUACAAAACUUACUGUCAUGUCUUGUAUGUUCACCGUUAAUUGGAACUUUUCAAUAAAGUACCAUAAUAUAUUA
Molecule: long non-coding RNA, 1281 nt
Organism: Pseudoliparis swirei
Lineage: Eukaryota; Metazoa; Chordata; Actinopteri; Perciformes; Liparidae
Exons: 5
Source: RefSeq, a predicted model, not a curated record